This 486-nucleotide ribosomal RNA is filed under the name uncultured bacterium. Its description in RNAcentral is "partial 16S ribosomal RNA". It matches the Rfam family "Bacterial small subunit ribosomal RNA", at positions 28 to 507 of the family's 1533-position model. The record is from RNAcentral.
GAUGAACGCUGGCGGCGUGCCUAAUACAUGCAAGUCGAACGCUGGAGAUCUAGCUUGCUAGAUCGAAGGAGUGGCGAACGGGUGAGUAAUACAUAAGCAACCUACCCACGAAGACUGGGAUAAUCUCUGGAAACGGGGACUAAUACCGGAUAGGUAAUCGGAAGGCAUCUUCUGGUUAUUAAAGGUUAAAAACACUGGUGGAUGGGCUUAUGGCGCAUUAGUUAGUUGGUGAGGUAACGGCCCACCAAGACGAUGAUGCGUAGCCGGCCUGAGAGGAUGAACGGCCACAUUGGGACUGAGACACGGCCCAGACUCCUACGGGAGGCAGCAGUAGGGAAUUUUCGGCAAUGGGGGCAACCCUGACCGAGCAACGCCGCGUGAGUGAAGACGGCCUUCGGGUUGUAAAGCUCUGUUGUAAGGGAAGAACGGUAGAUAGAGAAUAUCUAAGUGACGGUACCUUACCAGAAAGCCACGGCUAACUACGUG